AGCGAACGCUGGCGGCAGGCUUAACACAUGCAAGUCGAGCGGGCACUUUCGGGUGUCAGCGGCGGACGGGUGAGUAACGCGUGGGAACGUGCCCUCUGGUUCGGAAUAACUCAGGGAAACUUGAGCUAAUACCGGAUACGCCCUUUUGGGGAAAGGCUUGCUGCCGGAGGAUCGGCCCGCGUCUGAUUAGCUAGUUGGUGAGGUAACGGCUCACCAAGGCGACGAUCAGUAGCUGGUCUGAGAGGAUGAUCAGCCACACUGGGACUGAGACACGGCCCAGACUCCUACGGGAGGCAGCAGUGGGGAAUAUUGGACAAUGGGCGCAAGCCUGAUCCAGCCAUGCCGCGUGAGUGAUGAAGGCCUUAGGGUUGUAAAGCUCUUUUAUCCGGGACGAUAAUGACGGUACCGGAGGAAUAAGCCCUGGCUAACUUCGUG
RNAcentral lists this ribosomal RNA (435 nucleotides) under uncultured bacterium. RNAcentral's name for it is "partial 16S ribosomal RNA". It matches the Rfam family "Bacterial small subunit ribosomal RNA", at positions 29 to 507 of the family's 1533-position model. The record is from RNAcentral.